ACACCCUUAAGCUCUGCUUGGUGUUGGGCGUCUGUCCCGCCUCUGCGCGCGGACUCGCCCCAAAGGCAUUGGCAGCGGUCCACGGCCCCUCUCGCGCAGCAUAUUGCGCUUCUCGAGGCGGUCCGGCCCGCGUCCACGAAGCCCACAUUACCGU
RNAcentral lists this unclassified non-coding RNA (154 nucleotides) under uncultured Dothideomycetes. RNAcentral's name for it is "sequence contains ITS2". Lineage: Eukaryota; Fungi; Ascomycota; Dothideomycetes. The record is from RNAcentral.